CCCUGAGCACUGCCUCGGGGCUUCUAUUCCGAAUUUGUAACCAGGGGGUCUGCUCGUG
Molecule: non-coding RNA, 58 nt
Filed under: Leclercia adecarboxylata
Lineage: Bacteria; Pseudomonadati; Pseudomonadota; Gammaproteobacteria; Enterobacterales; Enterobacteriaceae
Description: ClpQY promoter
Rfam family: ClpQY promoter
Source: RNAcentral